RNAcentral lists this ribosomal RNA (882 nucleotides) under uncultured bacterium. Its description in RNAcentral is "bacterial SSU rRNA". It matches the Rfam family "Bacterial small subunit ribosomal RNA", at positions 8 to 886 of the family's 1533-position model. The record is from RNAcentral.
AGAGUUUGAUCCUGGCUCAGGACGAACGCUGGCGGCGUGCCUAACACAUGCAAGUCGAACGGAACUUUUUUAAAAGAUUUCUUCGGAAUGAUUUUGAUUAAGUUUAGUGGCGGACGGGUGAGUAACGCGUGAGUAACCUGCCUCUAAGAGGGGAAUAACAUUCUGAAAAGAAUGCUAAUACCGCAUAACAUAUAUUUAUCGCAUGGUAGAUAUAUCAAAGAUUUAUCGCUUAGAGAUGGACUCGCGUCCGAUUAGUUAGUUGGUGAGGUAACGGCUCACCAAGACUGCGAUCGGUAGCCGGACUGAGAGGUUGAACGGCCACAUUGGGACUGAGACACGGCCCAGACUCCUACGGGAGGCAGCAGUGGGGGAUAUUGCGCAAUGGGGGAAACCCUGACGCAGCAACGCCGCGUGAAGGAUGAAGGUCUUCGGAUUGUAAACUUCUUUUAUUAAGGACGAAGAAAGUGACGGUACUUAAUGAAUAAGCUCCGGCUAACUACGUGCCAGCAGCCGCGGUAAUACGUAGGGAGCAAGCGUUGUCCGGAUUUACUGGGUGUAAAGGGUGCGUAGGCGGCUUUGCAAGUCAGAUGUGAAAUCUAUGGGCUCAACCCAUAGCCUGCAUUUGAAACUGCAGAGCUUGAGUGAAGUAGAGGCAGGCGGAAUUCCCCGUGUAGCGGUGAAAUGCGUAGAGAUGGGGAGGAACACCAGUGGCGAAGGCGGCCUGCUGGGCUUUAACUGACGCUGAGGCACGAAAGCGUGGGUAGCAAACAGGAUUAGAUACCCUGGUAGUCCACGCUGUAAACGAUGAUUACUAGGUGUGGGGGGUCUGACCCCUUCCGUGCCGGAGUUAACACAAUAAGUAAUCCACCUGGGGAGUACGGC